This 759-nucleotide long non-coding RNA is filed under the name Sus scrofa (pig). RNAcentral describes it as "lncRNA (ENSSSCG00070002678.1)". The stretch from base 580 to 671 matches the Rfam family "Small nucleolar RNA SNORD116". Lineage: Eukaryota; Metazoa; Chordata; Mammalia; Artiodactyla; Suidae. The record is from RNAcentral.
GACCCCUGAUCUUGUGGCGUGCCACCGCGCGAGGCCGAGGAGCUCCCGCAGACCAGUGGGCGUGGCGUCCUUGUCGCGGCUCUGUGGAGACCUGGCGAUGGAGAGCAGCAUGGCGGACCCCUGAUCUUGUGGCGUGCCACCGCGCGAGGCCGAGGAGCUCCCGCAGACCAGUGGGCGUGGCGUCCUUGUCGCGGCUCUGUGGAGACCUGGCGAUGGAGAGCAGCAUGGCGGACCCCUGAUCUUGUGGCGUGCCACCGCGCGAGGCCGAGGAGCUCCCGCAGACCAGUGGGCGUGGCGUCCUUGUCGCGGCUCUGUGGAGACCUGGCGAUGGUGAGCGGCCCCUGUCCUCAGUGGUGGAGAACUCGCCCUUGGGGCGCUCGUCGUCCGGAGCCCCGGGCCACCCCGCUUCUCGCGGGCUUUGGCCCCGGCAGGCCAGCUCCGGGGGCGUGAGGGGAGCGUCCCGUCCUGCCCAGUGGCUCGUCUGUCUGGGCACGCCCCCAAACGCUGCCGUGAUGGAGCGGGGUGGAUGUCCAGGUGCGGAGGCCGUGAAUUUGCCUUGCGGCGGCGGAGCCCGUGCUCGGAUCGAUGAUGACUCCCUCUAAAGCAUUCCUUGGAAAUCUGAACAAAAUGAGUGAGAACUCACUACCGUCUCCUCAUCGAAACUGAGGUCCGGCACGUGGCGGCCACCGGGGGCUCGGGGGCCCUUGGCCUUGGGGCCUCUGUGUGUCAGCAGCCACUCGGGUGAGGUCUGGGGAAGGC